This is a long non-coding RNA of Coffea eugenioides, 2103 nucleotides long. RefSeq lists it as uncharacterized. Lineage: Eukaryota; Viridiplantae; Streptophyta; Magnoliopsida; Gentianales; Rubiaceae. The transcript has 4 exons. The record is from RefSeq and is a predicted model, not a curated record.
UCAUUGCAUUUAAGAAAUCUUGGACUAGUGAAGGGCAAAGAAGCAGCUAAACAAGCAAAAUUGUUCGAAAAGCCAGAUCUAUCUCGCUUGGUGUUUUUGAAUGGGAAAGGUGGGAUCGAGAAAGCGAUAACUGUGAUGAGGAUGUAUUGGAAGGUCUCCAAUCUCACCCAAAUUUGCAAGAGUUGGAAAUUCGAUAUUUUAUGGGUAAUAAAUUUCCGCAAUGGCUUAUCAAUUUGUCAAAAUUGGGAAUAGAAGAUUGUCAAAGAUGCUGUGAACUCCCCGCAUUAGGACAACUGCCAUCCCUCAAACAUCUCUAUUUGGCACGAUUGGACAACAUCCGAUCUGUUGGAGAUGAAUUCUACGGUAUUAAUACUAAUGAGGAGGAGGAGGAGGGCAGAUCACGAGCAUCAGGGAGCUGCGCUAGAAGACGAAAAUUCUUUCCAGCCCUUGAAGAACUCCGCGUAGAAUAUAUGAGGAAUUUGGUAGAGUGGAAGGAUGCAGACCAAGUGAGAUCAACAACAGGUGAAGUAGAAACUGAUGUCUUUCCUAUGCUGAGGGAUUUGAUGCUCGUGGGAUGCUACAAUCUUAGGGAGCUACCAAAAGAUGUGUUUGGAACGAGUUUGCAGUGGUUGAUCAUCUCAGGUUGUGCUGUGCAAGAUUAAUUAGUCUGGGAGUAAAUGGACAGAAAUGCCCCCUACCAUGUCUUGAGCAAUUGAGAAUUUGUGAGUGUGAGGGGUUGACCACUUUGCCCUACAAAAUGUUCGAGUCAUGCCCGUCUCUGUGGUACCUGGAGGUGGUGAGCUGCCCCAAUUUGGUGUUGUUUUCACUUAAUUUGCAGGAGACGUCAUCUCUCGAGAAAUUCAUCUUAGUCAGAUGUCCCAAAUUGAUCCCUCAUAGGUUCAAAGGAUUUGCUUUUGCCACCAGCUUAAGAAAAUUACAAAUCGGUCCCUUCUCCUCAGAUGACUCCUCAAUCGAUGGUUUUGAUUGGUCUGGUUUAAGAUCUGCAUCAACACUUACGAGGGUUGCCUCACACGGAUUCCCUGCCACACCAGCUUCAAUACUUGACUACCCUCACUUCACUAAGGCUGGACAACUUUGGAGGAAUAGAAGUGCUACCGGAUUGGAUUGGAAACCUUGUGUCUCUUGAAACCCUAUGGCUAUGGUCUUGCCAAAAGCUUCAAUCUUUACCAUCCGAGGCCGCCAUGAGACGCCUCACCAAGUUAACUCGUGUUGAAGUUUAUUGGUGUCCUCUACUAAGACAACAAUACUCUCCCCAAAGAGGCAUCUACUACUUGGAGGAGGAGAUUUCAAGUGAUCCAAGUCUUAGGAGGCAUAGCUUAUGUUGUUGGAGAAAGGACAGCAUCGUUUGUUGUUGCAUUUCUUACUAGAAUACCAAGGGACAGAAGUUAUUUUCAUUGACCAGACAGGGUUUGAAGAUGAAGGCAAUUAUCAAUGAUGUUUAUUAAGCUCAUUAGAUAUCAUUAACUAUGAUGGAGGCUUCAUAAAUAGUUGGUUCUCCCCAAGUUUCUCAAACAUAAGUUUUUCAUCUUCUACUCAGACUGCAGAAAGGAAGCAUGCUGAUUGCUGAACUGAAAAUGGCUAGUAGCAGGCCUGCAAAGUAUGAUAUGGAGGAAGAAGAAAUUGGGGGGAAGGGGGGGGGAGCAUGGAGGCUGACACUGGAGAGCUAUCAACAUACAAGGCUUAUUUCAAUCAAACUGGAGUUGGUCUAUUGGUUCAGAAGGGAUUUCUGGGAAAGAGUUGGAUGCAUCAGAAUGAUGUGAUAAGUACAUCCUGAUAACCGUCCAAGGUUCCAGAGGGAGUAUGUUGAGCACAAUAACAAGCUGUUGUACUACAUCCUUGAUAUGUCCUGUUCCUGGCACCAUCAAGAUUGAAGAUUUGGAGAAUCAACAGCAAGGCCUUGUCAGUGAAUUUGAAAGUUUGGAUAUAUUGCUUCAGUUGAUGCAGCAAAAGCCAACUGAUUUCAUGGCAGAAACAUGAUUUCUCACUUUUGCGAUUUUUUCCCCUCGUUUGAAUAAUGUACAUGACAGGGUGUCGAGCCUGUGCAAUAAUAAAUACCUGCUCAAAUAAAAUACAAAUUCUGUA